AGAGUUUGAUCCUGGCUCAGGACGAACGCUGGCGGCGUGCUUAACACAUGCAAGUCGAACGAUGAUGCCCAGCUUGCUGGGCGGAUUAGUGGCGAACGGGUGAGUAAUACGUGAGUAACCUGCCCUUGACUCUGGGAUAAGCCUGGGAAACUGGGUCUAAUACUGGAUACUACCUCUUACCGCAUGGUGGGUGGUGGAAAGGGUUUUACUGGUUUUGGAUGGGCUCACGGCCUAUCAGCUUGUUGGUGGGGUAAUGGCUCACCAAGGCGACGACGGGUAGCCGGCCUGAGAGGGUGACCGGCCACACUGGGACUGAGACACGGCCCAGACUCCUACGGGAGGCAGCAGUGGGGAAUAUUGCACAAUGGGCGGAAGCCUGAUGCAGCGACGCCGCGUGAGGGAUGACGGCCUUCGGGUUGUAAACCUCUUUCAGUAGGGAAGAAGCGAGAGUGACGGUACCUGCAGAAGAAGCGCCGGCUAACUACGUGCCAGCAGCCGCGGUAAUACGUAGGGCGCAAGCGUUGUCCGGAAUUAUUGGGCGUAAAGAGCUCGUAGGCGGUUUGUCGCGUCUGCUGUGAAAGCCCGGGGCUCAACCCCGGGUCUGCAGUGGGUACGGGCAGACUAGAGUGCAGUAGGGGAGACUGGAAUUCCUGGUGUAGCGGUGAAAUGCGCAGAUAUCAGGAGGAACACCGAUGGCGAAGGCAGGUCUCUGGGCUGUUACUGACGCUGAGGAGCGAAAGCAUGGGGAGCGAACAGGAUUAGAUACCCUGGUAGUCCAUGCCGUAAACGUUGGGCACUAGGUGUGGGGGACAUUCCACGUUUUCCGCGCCGUAGCUAACGCAUUAAGUGCCCCGCCUGGGGAGUACGGCCGCAAGGCUAAAACUCAAAGGAAUUGACGGGGGCCCGCACAAGCGGCGGAGCAUGCGGAUUAAUUCGAUGCAACGCGAAGAACCUUACCAAGGCUUGACAUUCACCGGACCGCCCCAGAGAUGGGGUUUCCCUUCGGGGCUGGUGGACAGGUGGUGCAUGGUUGUCGUCAGCUCGUGUCGUGAGAUGUUGGGUUAAGUCCCGCAACGAGCGCAACCCUCGUUCUAUGUUGCCAGCACGUGAUGGUGGGGACUCAUAGGAGACUGCCGGGGUCAACUCGGAGGAAGGUGGGGAUGACGUCAAAUCAUCAUGCCCCUUAUGUCUUGGGCUUCACGCAUGCUACAAUGGCCGGUACAAAGGGUUGCGAUACUGUGAGGUGGAGCUAAUCCCAAAAAGCCGGUCUCAGUUCGGAUUGAGGUCUGCAACUCGACCUCAUGAAGUCGGAGUCGCUAGUAAUCGCAGAUCGGCAACGCUGCGGUGAAUACGUUCCCGGGCCUUGUACACACCGCCCGUCAAGUCACGAAAGUUGGUAACACCCGAAGCCGGUGGCCUAACCCCUUGUGGGAGGGAGCCGUCGAAGGUGGGACUGGCGAUUGGGACUAAGUCGUAACAAGGUAGCC
Molecule: ribosomal RNA, 1487 nt
Filed under: Kocuria rosea
Lineage: Bacteria; Bacillati; Actinomycetota; Actinomycetes; Micrococcales; Micrococcaceae
Description: bacterial SSU rRNA
Rfam family: Bacterial small subunit ribosomal RNA
Source: RNAcentral